AUAUCUCAACCACGCCUCGGUGUGGCUUGGAUUUGGGGCUGUAGUAGUGCAGGCUUGGACUCGUAGUCUGCUCCCCUGAAAUACAUGAGUGGUACCUAACGCGAUGUGAUAAAUUAUCUGCAUCUUAUGAAAAGGUUAUGCCGCUACGUCGUUGGAGUUGAUAA
RNAcentral lists this unclassified non-coding RNA (164 nucleotides) under uncultured Inocybe. RNAcentral's name for it is "sequence contains ITS2". The record is from RNAcentral. Lineage: Eukaryota; Fungi; Basidiomycota; Agaricomycetes; Agaricales; Cortinariaceae.